Sorex araneus (European shrew) is the source of this 504-nucleotide non-coding RNA. The record is from the annotation of a RefSeq genome assembly. NCBI's taxonomy places the organism in Eukaryota, Metazoa, Chordata, Mammalia, Eulipotyphla, Soricidae.
AUGGACCUCAUGGGCAGGAACGUGCAUCAGCGCUGGUUCCUCCUCUUUCUGCUGGCAGCUCCUGGAUGUAUCCUAUCCCAGGUACAGCUGCAGGAAUCUGGACCAGGCCUGGUUACGCCCUCGCAGAUGAUGUCCCUCACCUGUUCGGUCUCUGGAUUCUCAUUAACCAGUGACCAUGUGCACUGGGUCCACCAGACCCCUGGAAAGGGGCUGGAUUGGAUUGGUGUUAUGUAUACUGAUGGGGGAACAAACUAUAACCCAAGUCUUAAGUCCCGAGUCAGCAUCUCCAGGGACACCUCCAAGAACCAAGUUUACCUAAAACUGAGCAACUCACUGACUGAGGACACAGCCGUGUAUUAUUGUCCCACCCUGGUCGUUUCCAGUUUUGAUAUCGGCAUUGAUGUGUUGAGAGGAUCCACCACUGUCCUUCUGAUUGACAUUUCCCUGGCAGUCAUUGCUGUUAAACACUUCUAUGCCUACAGCCCACGGGGAUGUCUCCUCUAG